RNAcentral lists this long non-coding RNA (451 nucleotides) under Panax ginseng (ginseng). Its description in RNAcentral is "long non-coding RNA (PGIN_LNC001237)". The record is from RNAcentral. Lineage: Eukaryota; Viridiplantae; Streptophyta; Magnoliopsida; Apiales; Araliaceae.
GUACUAGAUUUCAUCUUCGAAGGUCACAGAGAAAACAAUAAAAUCCAGUAAGCAUAUCCGCUUGUCAAUGUAAACAUAUAUAAUGUAAACAUAUCCGAGUAAUUGCUGGGUUUUUGACAAAGGAAUCGCCUGUGGGUUUUGACGAUUUUAGUAUCAAAUUGCAGUAGGGUUUUUGACGAUUUUGAAAUCGCAGGAGGGUUUUGGGUUUUUGACAGAGGAAUUGUGUGUGGGUUGUGACAAUUUUAGUAUCAAAUUGCAGCAAGGGUUUUGACGAUUCAGGAGAGUUUUGGGUUUUUGACAGAGGAAUCUGUUAGGAAGUUUGCCUGAAAGGAUAGUUAGAGUAGUUAAUUGAUGAUUAAUUGUUGUUAGUUACUUAAGGCUAUUUUAGUCUUAACAUUUGGUACAAUAAGGACUUGUUAGUCUUUAUCUUUCUAAGUCUGUUAGCUAGCAG